Molecule: ribosomal RNA, 117 nt
Filed under: Acidimicrobiia bacterium
Lineage: Bacteria; Bacillati; Actinomycetota; Acidimicrobiia
Source: RNAcentral
UUCGGUGGCUAUUGCGGAGGGGUCACACCCGUUCCCAUCCCGAACACGGAAGUUAAGCCCUCCUGCGCCGAUGGUACUUGGUUGGAGACGACCUGGGAGAGUAGGACGCCGCCGGAU